UUGAUGAACGCUAGCUACAGGCUUAACACAUGCAAGUCGAGGUGCAGCAUUUCAGUUUGCUUGCAAACUGGAGAUGGCGACCGGCGCACGGGUGAGUAACACGUAUCCAACCUGCCGAUAACUCGGGGAUAGCCUUUCGAAAGAAAGAUUAAUACCCGAUGGUAUAAUCAGACCGCAUGGUCUUGUUAUUAAAGAAUUUCGGUUAUCGAUGGGGAUGCGUUCCAUUAGGCAGUUGGUGAGGUAACGGCUCACCAAACCUUCGAUGGAUAGGGGUUCUGAGAGGAAGGUCCCCCACAUUGGAACUGAGACACGGUCCAAACUCCUACGGGAGGCAGCAGUGAGGAAUAUUGGUCAAUGGGCGCAGGCCUGAACCAGCCAAGUAGCGUGAAGGAUGACUGCCCUAUGGGUUGUAAACUUCUUUUAUAUGGGAAUAAAGUUUUCCACGUGUGGAAUUUUGUAUGUACCAUAUGAAUAAGGAUCGGCUAACUCCGUGCCAGCAGCCGCGGUAAUACGGAGGAUCCGAGCGUUAUCCGGAUUUAUUGGGUUUAAAGGGAGCGUAGGUGGACAGUUAAGUCAGUUGUGAAAGUUUGCGGCUCAACCGUAAAAUUGCAGUUGAUACUGGCUGUCUUGAGUACAGUAGAGGUGGGCGGAAUUCGUGGUGUAGCGGUGAAAUGCUUAGAUAUCACGAAGAACUCCGAUUGCGAAGGCAGCUCACUGGACUGCAACUGACACUGAUGCUCGAAAGUGUGGGUAUCAAACAGGAUUAGAUACCCUGGUAGUCCACACAGUAAACGAUGAAUACUCGCUGUUUGCGAUAUACAGUAAGCGGCCAAGCGAAAGCAUUAAGUAUUCCACCUGGGGAGUACGCCGGCAACGGUGAAACUCAAAGGAAUUGACGGGGGCCCGCACAAGCGGAGGAACAUGUGGUUUAAUUCGAUGAUACGCGAGGAACCUUACCCGGGCUUAAAUUGCAUUUGAAUAUAUUGGAAACAGUAUAGCCGUAAGGCAAAUGUGAAGGUGCUGCAUGGUUGUCGUCAGCUCGUGCCGUGAGGUGUCGGCUUAAGUGCCAUAACGAGCGCAACCCUUAUCUUUAGUUACUAACAGGUCAUGCUGAGGACUCUAGAGAGACUGCCGUCGUAAGAUGUGAGGAAGGUGGGGAUGACGUCAAAUCAGCACGGCCCUUACGUCCGGGGCUACACACGUGUUACAAUGGGGGGUACAGAAGGCAGCUACCUGGUGACAGGAUGCUAAUCCCAAAAGCCUCUCUCAGUUCGGAUCGAAGUCUGCAACCCGACUUCGUGAAGCUGGAUUCGCUAGUAAUCGCGCAUCAGCCAUGGCGCGGUGAAUACGUUCCCGGGCCUUGUACACACCGCCCGUCAAGCCAUGAAAGCCGGGGGUACCUAAAGUACGUAACCGCAAGGAGCGUCCUAGGGU
RNAcentral lists this ribosomal RNA (1434 nucleotides) under uncultured organism. RNAcentral's name for it is "SSU rRNA". It matches the Rfam family "Bacterial small subunit ribosomal RNA". The record is from RNAcentral.